UUNUGAACUGGGUGACUAGAGUGUNUCAGAGGGAGGUAGAAUUCCACGUGUAGCAGUGAAAUGCGUAGAGAUGUGGAGGAAUACCGAUGGCGAAGGCAGCCUCCUGGGAUAACACUGACGUUCAUGCCCGAAAGCGUGGGUAGCAAACAGGAUUAGAUACCCUGGUAGUCCACGCCCUAAACGAUGUCGAUUAGCUGUUGGGCAGCAUGACUGCUUAGUAGCGAAGCUAACGCGUGAAAUCGACCGCCUGGGGAGUACGGUCGCAAGAUUAAAACUCAAAGGAAUUGACGGGGACCCGCACAAGCGGUGGAUGAUGUGGAUUAAUUCGAUGCAACGCGAAGAACCUUACCUGGUCUUGACAUGUACGGAGCCCUCCAGAGACGGAGGGGUGCCUUCGGGAGCCGUAACACAGGUGCUGCAUGGCUGUCGUCAGCUCGUGUCGUGAGAUGUUGGGUUAAGUCCCGCAACGAGCGCAACCCUUGUCAUUAGUUGCCAUCAUUAAGUUGGGCACUCUAAUGAGACUGCCGGUGACAAGCCGGAGGAAGGUGGGGAUGACGUCAAGUCCUCAUGGCCCUUAUGACCAGGGCUUCACACGUCAUACAAUGGUCGGUACAGAGGGUAGCCAAGCCGCGAGGUGGAGCCAAUCUCACAAAACCGAUCGUAGUCCGGAUUGCACUCUGCAACUCGAGUGCAUGAAGUCGGAAUCGCUAGUAAUCGCAGGUCAGCAUACUGCGGUGAAUACGUUCCCGGGUCUUGUA
This 758-nucleotide ribosomal RNA is filed under the name uncultured bacterium. RNAcentral's name for it is "bacterial SSU rRNA". It matches the Rfam family "Bacterial small subunit ribosomal RNA", at positions 626 to 1385 of the family's 1533-position model. The record is from RNAcentral.